GGGGACGGGGUGAGUAAUGCCUAGGGAAUCUGCCUGGUAGUGGGGGACAACGUUUCGAAAGGAACGCUAAUACCGCAUACGUCCUACGGGAGAAAGCAGGGGACCUUCGGGCCUUGCGCUAUCAGAUGAGCCUAGGUCGGAUUAGCUAGUUGGUGAGGUAAUGGCUCACCAAGGCGACGAUCCGUAACUGGUCUGAGAGGAUGAUCAGUCACACUGGAACUGAGACACGGUCCAGACUCCUACGGGAGGCAGCAGUGGGGAAUAUUGGACAAUGGGCGAAAGCCUGAUCCAGCCAUGCCGCGUGUGUGAAGAAGGUCUUCGGAUUGUAAAGCACUUUAAGUUGGGAGGAAGGGUUGUAGGUUAAUACCCUGCAAUUUUGACGUUACCGACAGAAUAAGCACCGGCUAACUUCGUGCCAGCAGCCGCGGUAAUACGAAGGGGGCAAGCGGUAGUCGGAAUUACUGGGCGUAAAGCGCGCGUAGGUGGGUUUGUUAAGUUGGAUGG
This 504-nucleotide ribosomal RNA is filed under the name Stutzerimonas stutzeri. Its description in RNAcentral is "bacterial SSU rRNA". It matches the Rfam family "Bacterial small subunit ribosomal RNA", at positions 97 to 595 of the family's 1533-position model. The record is from RNAcentral. Lineage: Bacteria; Pseudomonadati; Pseudomonadota; Gammaproteobacteria; Pseudomonadales; Pseudomonadaceae.